GACGAACGCUGGCGGCGUGCUUAACACAUGCAAGUCGAACGGAAAGGCCUGCUUUCCCUUGUGGAUUGCGGGUACUCGAGUGGCGAACGGGUGAGUAACACGUGAGUGAUCUGCCCCCAACUUGGGUAUAAGCCUGGGAAACUGGGUCUAAUUCCCGAUAGGACUGCAGGGUGGUGCCUGUGGUGGAAAACGAUUUUCUAGUGGUUGGGGAUGAGCUCGCGGCCUAUCAGCUUGUUGGUGGGGUAAUGGCCUACCAAGGCGGCGACGGGUAGCCGGCCUGAGAGGGUGGACGGCCACAUUGGGACUGAGAUUCGGCCCAGACUCCUACGGGAGGCAGCAGUGGGGAAUAUUGCACAAUGGGCGGAAGCCUGAUGCAGCGACGCCGCGUGGGGGAUGACGGCCUUCGGGUUGUAAACUCCUUUCGACCGCGAGGAAGCCACCUGGUUGGAAGGGUGGUGACGGUAGUGGUAGAAGAAGCACCGGCUAACUACGUG
This 494-nucleotide ribosomal RNA is filed under the name uncultured bacterium. RNAcentral's name for it is "partial 16S ribosomal RNA". It matches the Rfam family "Bacterial small subunit ribosomal RNA", at positions 28 to 507 of the family's 1533-position model. The record is from RNAcentral.